RNAcentral lists this ribosomal RNA (253 nucleotides) under uncultured bacterium. RNAcentral's name for it is "partial 16S ribosomal RNA". It matches the Rfam family "Bacterial small subunit ribosomal RNA", at positions 524 to 776 of the family's 1533-position model. The record is from RNAcentral.
UACAGAGGGGGCGAGCGUUGUUCGGAAUUACUGGGCGUAAAGGGCGCGUAGGCGGCCUGCUAAGUCGAACGUGGAAUCCCCGGGCUCAACCCGGGAACUGCGUCCGAUACUGGUGGGCUUGAAUCCGGGAGAGGGAUGUGGAAUUCCAGGUGUAGCGGUGAAAUGCGUAGAUAUCUGGAGGAACACCGGUGGCGAAGGCGGCAUCCUGGACCGGCAUUGACGCUGAGGCGCGAAAGCUAGGGGAGCAAACGGG